This 349-nucleotide ribosomal RNA is filed under the name bacterium enrichment culture clone ALO1_GLFRUDD03GG8LP. Its description in RNAcentral is "bacterial SSU rRNA". It matches the Rfam family "Bacterial small subunit ribosomal RNA", at positions 9 to 358 of the family's 1533-position model. The record is from RNAcentral.
GAGUUUGAUCGUGGCUCAGAUUGAACGCUGGCGGCAUGCCUUACACAUGCAAGUCGAACGGCAGCACGGGAGCUUGCUCCUGGUGGCGAGUGGCGAACGGGUGAGUAAUGCAUCGGAACGUAUCCUGGAGUGGGGGAUAACGUAGCGAAAGUUACGCUAAUACCGCAUAUUCUGUGAGCAGGAAAGCGGGGGACCUUCGGGCCUCGCGCUCUUGGAGCGGCCGAUGUCGGAUUAGCUAGUUGGUGAGGUAAAGGCGUCACCAAGGCGACGAUCCGUAGCAGGUCUGAGAGGAUGAUCUGCCACACUGGAACUGAGACACGGUCCAGACUCCUACGGAGGCAGCAGUGGG